ACAAGGUUUCCGUAGGUGAACCUGCGGAAGGAUCAUUAAUGAAUUCACUAUGGAGUUGUUGCUGGCCUCUAGGGGCAUGUGCACGCUUCACUAGUCUUUCAACCACCUGUGAACUUUUGAUAGAUCUGUGAAGUCGUCUCUCAAGUCGUCAGACUUGGUUGCUGGGAUWUAAACGUCUCGGUGUGACUACGCAGUCUAUUUACUUACACACCCCAAAUGUAUGUCUACGAAUGUCAUUUAAUGGGCCUUGUGCCUAUAAACCAUAAUACAACUUUCAACAACGGAUCUCUUGGCUCUCGCAUCGAUGAAGAACGCAGCGAAAUGCGAUAAGUAAUGUGAAUUGCAGAAUUCAGUGAAUCAUCGAAUCUUUGAACGCACCUUGCGCCCCUUGGUAUUCCGAGGGGCAUGCCUGUUUGAGUGUCAUUAAAUUCUCAAACUCACUUUGGUUUCUUUCCAAUUGUGAUGUUUGGAUUGUUGGGGGCUGCUGGCCUUGACAGGUCGGCUCCUCUUAAAUGCAUUAGCAGGACUUCUCAUUGCCUCUGCGCAUGAUGUGAUAAUUAUCACUCAUCAAUAGCACGCAUGAAUAGAGUCCAGCUCUCUAAUCGUCCGCAAGGACAAUUUGACAAUUUGACCUCAAAUCAGGUAGGACUACCCGCUGAACUUAAGCAU
RNAcentral lists this ribosomal RNA (669 nucleotides) under Pleurotus ostreatus (oyster mushroom). RNAcentral describes it as "eukaryotic LSU rRNA". The record is from RNAcentral. Lineage: Eukaryota; Fungi; Basidiomycota; Agaricomycetes; Agaricales; Pleurotaceae.